Coregonus clupeaformis (lake whitefish) is the source of this 2019-nucleotide long non-coding RNA. RefSeq lists it as uncharacterized. The transcript has 6 exons. The record is from RefSeq and is a predicted model, not a curated record. NCBI's taxonomy places the organism in Eukaryota, Metazoa, Chordata, Actinopteri, Salmoniformes, Salmonidae.
AAUAACAACAAUACGUCCGCCUCAGAUGUUUUUUGCUUAAGGUGUUAUGUCAACUUAUUGACAUACAUAGCUAGCUAUUUACUUAGUUGUAUAACUACAACCUGUAUUUUCGUUGGUGGACAGGACCCAUACAAUAAGGGUGCUAUAUGGUGUGAAAAACUGACUUUAUUUUAGAUUAAUUUGUAGCUAUGUUUGAUAGCUAAUCUGGCUAGCAAACUAAACUAACAUUAGCAAACCGACGCGCCUGUCUCAACGGUCCCAGAACUCGCACAGUGCUGAACCAGAGAUGAAGAUGUUCUCAGUCUCCCACAAGACGGCCUUCGUGGUCGACCGCUGCCCUUAAAUGGCAGAGUCCAGUUAGCAGCAGGUGGAGUGUGACAUGCUGACCAAGAGACGUGGCCAGGGCAUGAUCCCGCUGGCCCCAGUGGCCAAGUCCCUGUGGACCUGCACUGUGGAGUACUGCUGCAUACUCUAUGACGUUUACCCCCCUCAAGAAAAUAGUGAGUCCCUCCCUCCAUCCCUUAGCCUGGUGGUCCAGUCUGUUUUAGCCCAGGUCAGAACAGAGUCUAGUCUGUUUGUGCUUUGGCCAACUUCUCUCUGUGUUCAUUCAUAUUCCAAGUUGGCCACAACACAUUACAAUGCUUCAGUGGUUAUGUUUUAGGUCAACUACAUUCUGAGUGUUUCAGAGUUCCACAUUCUGAACAGCUGGAGGCAAGAGGACCAAAACACUCAUGAGGUAAUGUAUUUCCCAGUUCGAGAGACAGAUACUUAUUUAUCAACAGGGCAACAAUUGACCCUUCGCUAAACCCUGCCCUCCUUGGUAACUGUUACUAACUCAGGCAAGUUUAGCCUUUUAUCUUCCAGAGAACAUGGAGAAACGCAUUGUAAUAACACUAAGAUAACUCCCAAAAGAGUUACUUAGUCAGUUUGAGACAACCAUCACUUAUAUCAGAUAGGAGCAGAUAAAAGGGCCUUCAAUAUGCUUUUGUAGGUUAUAUUCACUAAAUAAAAAUAACGCAGGAGCGCAACACAACAAGCAGGAGGACUGGGAUAGAAGCAAAAGCCAACCGGGCCCAGUGUAAGAGGGAGAAACCCCACCAGCUGACCAUCGAGGCAGAGGCAGAUGAAAUAAAGGAGCAAUGUUGUUCCUGUACUCCACGCUCCACUGGUUACUGCUCGCAUGUUGUCGGGCUGAUCCACACCCUGGACCUCUGGAGAGCCCAAGAUGAAAUGUCCACCACAAGCUUGCCACAACAGUGGCAUAAGCCAAGAGGCAAGAAGAUUGAUGCCAAGCCUAUUACAGCGGUCGUGGUGGAAAAGGAAAAUGUGAGUUGGAAGAGAAGACCAGUCUAGUGCAGUUACAACUUUGACAGGACAGUGUCAGAAGUAACAGAUGGAAGAUUUACAUUGACUGAAAAAUGUCAGGCACACCUAUGAGCUACAUUGCUGACAGGCCCCCAUUAGAAGUAACAGUAGGUGAGGAGGAGUACCCGAUAGGCAGUGGCUUGAGCUACCAGGUAAAGCAAUUCAGAAAACUUUUUAGAUCAAUAAUAUAUUGUUUUUUAAUAAAUACAAUUAAUAGAAACAAGCAUAGUCACUGAUAACAAUACUAAUGCAUUGGAUUACAAAGAAGAGUUGCCCUUUCCAGGUGCACCCUAUGCUUCACUAUUUUCUUUGUCAUCUCGACAUCUGGUUCAUUUUGUAGGUUGGACUUUGCAAAGGGAGGAAUGUUCAAAUCUAAGACCAAUUUCCUCCACAUCUUUCUCAAUGAGAAACUCCUUGUCUGCCAUGAGCCCAUCAUCUCUCUUUAAGCUCCCACUAUUGGAGAACACAGAGCCACCACCAUCCUCCUCGAACCCAACUGUCUGUAGCAGAGGCACUGGAAAAAGAGAAGACAGCAGAGCGACAACAACACCUGGCAUGGCGUCUGCAAUUCUGUGCUUCAAACUUUGUGGCAACAGUUUGGGGAAGGCCCUUUCCUGUUUCAGCAUGAUAAUGCCCCCGUGCACAAAGUGAGGU